RNAcentral lists this ribosomal RNA (468 nucleotides) under uncultured bacterium. RNAcentral describes it as "partial 16S ribosomal RNA". It matches the Rfam family "Bacterial small subunit ribosomal RNA", at positions 28 to 507 of the family's 1533-position model. The record is from RNAcentral.
GACGAACGCUGGCGGCGUGCUUAACACGUGCAAGUCGAACGGAAAGGCCCUGCUUUUGUGGGGUGCUCGAGUGGCGAACGGGUGAGUAACACGUGAGUAACCUGCCCUUGACUUUGGGAUAACUUCAGGAAACUGGGGCUAAUACCGGAUAGGAGCUCCUGCUGCAUGGUGGGGGUUGGAAAGUUUCGGCGGUUGGGGAUGGACUCGCGGCUUAUCAGCUUGUUGGUGGGGUAGUGGCUUACCAAGGCUUCGACGGGUAGCCGGCCUGAGAGGGUGACCGGCCACAUUGGGACUGAGAUACGGCCCAGACUCCUACGGGAGGCAGCAGUGGGGAAUAUUGCACAAUGGGCGGAAGCCUGAUGCAGCAACGCCGCGUGCGGGAUGACGGCCUUCGGGUUGUAAACCGCUUUCGCCUGUGACGAAGCGUGAGUGACGGUAAUGGGUAAAGAAGCACCGGCUAACUACGUG